CCUACGAGAGGCAGCAGUGAGGAAUAUUGGUCAAUGGACGCAAGUCUGAACCAGCCAUGCCGCGUGCAGGAAGACGGCUCUAUGAGUUGUAAACUGCUUUUGUACGAGGGUAAACGCAGAUACGCGUAUCUGUCUGAAAGUAUCGUACGAAUAAGGAUCGGCUAACUCCGUGCCAGCAGCCGCGGUAAUACGGAGGAUUCAAGCGUUAUCCGGAUUUAUUGGGUUUAAAGGGUGCGUAGGCGGUCGGAUAAGUUAGAGGUGAAAUCCCGAGGCUCAACUUCGGAAUUGCAUCUGAUACUGUUCGGCUAGAGAGUAGUUGCGGUAGGCGGAAUGUAUGGUGUAGCGGUGAAAUGCUUAGAGAUCAUACAGAACACCGAUUGCGAAGGCAGCUUACCAAGCUACUACUGACGUUGAGGCACGAAGGCGUGGGGAGCAAACAGGAUUAGAUACCCCGGUAGUC
Molecule: ribosomal RNA, 460 nt
Filed under: uncultured bacterium
Lineage: Bacteria
Description: partial 16S ribosomal RNA
Rfam family: Bacterial small subunit ribosomal RNA
Source: RNAcentral